RNAcentral lists this transfer RNA (73 nucleotides) under Danio rerio (zebrafish). It matches the Rfam family "tRNA". Rfam says of the family: Transfer RNA (tRNA) molecules are approximately 80 nucleotides in length. Their secondary structure includes four short double-helical elements and three loops (D, anti-codon, and T loops). Lineage: Eukaryota; Metazoa; Chordata; Actinopteri; Cypriniformes; Danionidae. The record is from Rfam by way of RNAcentral.
GCCUGGCUAGUUCAGUCGGUAGAGCAUGAGACUCUUAAUGUCAGGGUCGUGGGUUCAAGCCCCACGUUGGGCG